Molecule: ribosomal RNA, 253 nt
Filed under: uncultured bacterium
Lineage: Bacteria
Description: partial 16S ribosomal RNA
Rfam family: Bacterial small subunit ribosomal RNA
Source: RNAcentral
UACGAGUACCCCGAGCAUUAUCCGGAAUUAUUGGGCGUAAAGGGUGAGUAGGUGGGCGUAUUAGUCGAAUGUCAAAUCUUAGGGCUCAACCUUGAGACCGCAUUCGAAACGGUACGUCUAGAGUGUGUGAGAGGUAAGCGGAACUCUAUGUGUAGGGGUGAAAUCCGUUGAUAUAUAGGGGAACACCAAAAGCGAAGGCAGCUUACUGGCACAUCACUGACACUGAAUCACGAAAGCGUAGGUAGCGAAUGGG